This 500-nucleotide ribosomal RNA is filed under the name uncultured bacterium. RNAcentral describes it as "bacterial SSU rRNA". It matches the Rfam family "Bacterial small subunit ribosomal RNA", at positions 52 to 547 of the family's 1533-position model. The record is from RNAcentral.
UACAUGCAAGUCGAGCGGCAGCGCGGGAGCAAUCCUGGCGGCGAGCGGCGGACGGGUGAGCAAUGCUUGGGAAUCUGCCCAACAGUGGGGGACAACCCGGGGAAACUCGGGCUAAUACCGCAUACGUUCUGAGGAAGAAAGCAGGGGAUCGCAAGACCUUGCGCUGAUGGAUGAGCCCAAGUCGGAUUAGCUGGUUGGUGAGGUAACGGCUCACCAAGGCGACGAUCCGUAGCUGGUCUGAGAGGACGACCAGCCACACCGGAACUGAGACACGGUCCGGACUCCUACGGGAGGCAGCAGUGGGGAAUAUUGGACAAUGGGGGCAACCCUGAUCCAGCGACGCCGCGUGGGUGAAGAAGGCCUGCGGGUUGUAAAGCCCUUUCGUUGGGGAAGAACAGUUCCGACCUAAUACGUCGGGACCUUGACGUUACCCAAAGAAGAAGCACCGGCUAACUCUGUGCCAGCAGCCGCGGUAAUACAGAGGGUGCGAGCGUUAAUCG